UAUUGUAUUAGAAGUGCAAAAUUAUUUUAUAUUCUUGCAUAUUUUAAAAAAAUUCUAAUGAAAGAAUACUUUUUUUUUCCAUUGAUGUAGUAGUUACAACAAAUAAAAAAUAUGUAUAUGAAAUUUAGUUUCUCUACAAAUUUUUAAUCUAAAAUUACAUGUUGAUAUUUAAUUUGUUUAAGACUAUAGGCCGUUCCACAAAAAUUGUUAAGUUUGCUUUAUAUUAGAAGUAAAUCUUGCAUCAAUCUUUUAAAGUUUCUCCACCGUUAACAAUAAUCCAUCUACCUAACAUAAAUCCCAGUAGAACGAUGUAAAUCAAAUUUCAAGAUCUUAAAACUAGUUUUUAUUUAUAAUAUUUCAAAGCUGGCUACAAAUAUAAACAUGAAUAUAAUUUUUUUAAAGAUAUCUAACUACAUUAUACUUCGAUAAUAAAAAUUGAUUGUUAAGACCUUUUUACUAGCAACCACAACUGGAUUAGCCUCAUUCCUCAGUGGCAUCAACAUCAGAAACCAUGAAGGCUGAGGACCACUACGAACAAUGCAACACGUCCUGUUGCAUGCCAUGGAUGCUGAAUGGCAAUGGAAGAUUGUGGUGUGCUUGUGAUCGCUAAGUAGAGAGUACCGAGAUGAAGAGAAGUGAAGAGAAGAGAAGAGCUGGCUGUUUCUAUUGAAAAAACGACAAGUGAUAGUCACAAGCAAAUCAAAUCCAACAUGUAAAUAUAUUCAACGUACGCAUGAGCUUAAGAAACACAGACCACUUCAGAGAGGUGCCGCACACUGACUGACUGUGCACACCAUCUCCAUUUUCUUAUUCUCUGUGUGAUGUCGGGGGUAGUAAGUACCAUACGAGUUGAAGAGCAGCAAACAGUAGCCAUUCCUUUGAAUUCUGAAUUUUGCAGUUCACCUUGCCAAGCAUUCUAGAAAGUUGGGCGAAUUCGCAACGGCAUUGCAAGAGUGAGGCUUGUCAAAGUAGGAAGUUUUGGUGAAGUGGAAGAAAGCUAACGAUGUGCACGAGAGGUAACACCUGGAUCAUCAUCCACUAGAGCUGGAGUUCCCUUCAUUUUUCUCCUCCAUCACUUCUUUUGAUGCCGUCUUUUGUAUGAGUCCCUUAACAUCCUUGGGCUCUUCCUGCUGCAAAUCGUUGGUAUUCUGCGGAUCGUUGCCCUUCUGCUUUGCCGUUCCACUGCCAGCAGACUCGUUGGGCUUGCCAGACUCACUCUGCUUGCUCAUCUGUGUCUGCUCGUCUGAAAUCAGGCUGGAACGUCGCCUCUUCAAUUUAGGCUUCUUGGAGGAAUUUCUUGGAGUUCGGUUGGAUGUGGUUUUGCUGCUGCCACUUACCUCAGAAAUUUGUUUGACCUCCUUUCUGGACUUUCUCUUUCUUUUGCCUUUCUCAGUGCCCAUGGAAUCAUUCCCCCUUAAUGUACUAUCCGAUGGAUAAGAGGCAGGGCUCCCACUCGUUUCAUCGGAGAAUGCUUGGAGAGAGGUGGCAAUCGAAGUAUCAUUUUUGCUGUUUACAUCAGAUUGACCUCGCUUAAUAUUUUUCCCUUUGCAGCCUCGUACUAACCCGAUGGCUACCCCCACAUCACUGACAUGUCUAGAUUUCUUUUUGAGCCGCUGUUUCUUAGCUGCAGGUUUUCGUCUGCGGGGAAAAAAAGCUUUUCUCUUCACUACUAUAGACUUCCUCGAUUUGGACCCCUUUCUCUUCCCCGAUCGCUUCGCCAUUGCAAAGAUUCAAUUUGAAUGCUGCUGCCACAAGAAAUUGACAAAAAGCUUCACAGUUGCAACAUUGGAUUGACCCAGCUUGUCAGAAACUUGGCAGGACUCGACAUGGCUUUGGUCGCCAUUGAUGAGUGUCACUUCGGAUGAUAUUGUGGCUAUUUCAAUCUGAAUUCUUCUUUCCUUGAUAAGAAAUCCUCUUAAUUAGGAGAUCUCGCUUCGUGGAGUGCGAAGAUAAAAUGUGGGUAAAUUAUGCAAGUGUUAGUCCGCGACUAUUCAGAUUUGACCAGCGAGCUCAAAGAUGGCAGCACUGCAAACAGGAACGAAUUUAUUUGAAAGACCAGAGUUAUCGCCUUGCCAACGUUUGAAGAAGAAAUUUGACGAUGUUCUGUCCCCAAGGCUUGACAAUGUUGUCUUUUGAUUAGUAAGCGUCACCUUCUGACAGACGCAUCGUUUCGCUCAGCGAUUGCAUGCUAUAGCGCACUUUGAAAGUACCUUUUGGAUGAUCUACCUCUUUGCUUCACUUACUUCUGAAAUGGAAGUCGAGAUCAUUGUGUGAACAGCCGAAUUCUUGUCACGUGCUUCCCUUGUCCUCAUUUUGUUGCAUGUGCUUUUGGUGAAAUUUCUUGUGGAGAAUUAGAUUAAAACAAGAAGAAUGGCGAAGAGAGCUCCAAAAAAACGGCUGGUCAGGAGAAGAAGAAAACCAGUCGGAAAGAGAUCGACAUACGCCAGGAGGAGGAAGAGAAGGCAGCUAAAAGAUGAGCGAGCAGGGACGGCAAGGAAAAGACGGAGGACGGCGGAAAUGGAGAGUGAAUCCACAGGAGGAAGACGAAGAGAUAAGGAAGAGCGCGGAUCGAAGAGGAGGCGUCGAUGCGAAGAGAUCUCUCAAGAGGAGACCAUGACAGAAGAGUCCUACAGAAGCAGCAGUAUCAAGCAAGGCAACAGGAGCAACGACGAGACAGGCAAGAGCAGCAUCUCAAGCAAGGAAAAACAGGAGACUGCAAGUGGCACUGAGAGCGAAAGCCCUCGCAGCAGCAGCAGCAGGCGAAAACGGGGAGGGGGCAGCAGCAUCAGCAGCAAGGCUGCAAGUCCCGCAUCGAAAACCAGCAUUGAAACGGAUGCGAGCGAGUCACUGAACCAAGUCACCUUGGAGGCGAAACCAGCCGAGCGAAAACGGGGAAAGGAAGCUCGGAACGACGAGGACGACGAGGACGACGAAGCAGAAGCAGCAGAAGAAGACAGCCACACCUCCGACGACGACGACGACGAAAGCAGCAGCAGCUCCUGCUCUUGACACACACACACACACCCCCCCCCCUCCUCCAUUCCCCACACACACCCCCAAAAUAUAACAUUCUAUCUCUGCCUGCAAUAAUAAAAGUUUUUUAAGUUUCUCAUUCAUUAUUUUUAAGAUUUGAUUUUAAAAACUUGGAAAGUUAAUUAUUCGACUUGAUGAUUAAAAAAACAAUUGCCCAUGAAAAUAAUGUAUAAAAAAUAUGUUUUAAUUUUAAAAUUGCAAUUUAGUUUAGGAAUUUUUUUUUUGCAAAUUAAAAUUAAGAUUUAAAUCCGAAAAAACUCUUUAGGUCUAUCACAUGAAAUAUUUAAAUAUUUAUAUUCAUGUAAAUUUCAUAAAAGCCAUCAAAAGAUACAACAUAUAUUUAAGUCUAAUCUAAUAAAUGUAAUCACAAUCCAUUUUAUAUAGAAAAUUAAAAAAACACAUCAUUUACUAAUUUUAUGUUGAUAAUUUGUCAGAGUCAGUCAGAAAUAUGUGCAAUUUUCUUUAAAUAAUUCAAAAUAAUUAAACAUAAAUAAAUCUGCAAUAAAAAGAAUAGAUUUUACAUGUGUGACUAUGUACUCUCAUGUAGAUACAAGUCUAAAUAAAUUUACAUAAAAUGAGUGACUAAAUUUUUUUUAUUAUCUUAAAAUAUCUAAGAAUUUAUUCUAUAGGAUUCACAUUUUUCUUUAAAUGUGAUUUAAAAAACAUUAGAUUCUAUUAAGAAUACUCACAUUACUAAAUUUGAUUAUAAUUUUUUGAUUUUUUUAUAUCAUAAAUAUUGAUUUAUUUCUAUGAUAUUUAAAAUAAAAAUAAAUAUAUAUAGACAUAUUAAAAUUUCAAAAUGCAUACAAUUAUAUAUGUACUAAUUUUUAAAUUUCUAAUAUUUAAAAAGAUAAUCUUUAUUAAAAGACGUUGAAGUAAAAUCAUGAAAAAAUAUUUAAUAUCGAAUUAAGAAACAAUUUAAAUUUUUAUAAAUAUAUAAUUUUAUGUGCUACAAAGAGUUUUGUUUUUGCACAUUGCAACAGUAAUUCUUGCGUAAAUUUUCUAAAAAAAAUUGAUUUUUAAAAAAAAAUAUGGUAACUGGGAUGCUUAAGGAUAAAAACUUUAAAAAUAAAUAAAAAAUAAUAAAAGACAUACUUCAAUCUUCUCUAUUUAGUAAUAUUAUUUAAUUAUUUUUAAAAUAAGAAUCUAGAAGAUAAUUUUUCCUAUUAAUUAAUAAAUAUAGAGACAAAACUAAGUUCAUUUUUAAUUUUAUUGAUGUGUAUUUUUCUUUUUUCUUUUUCUUUUUUUUACUUUGUUCUUUCUUCAAGUCUCUUUAGCAUUUUUUAUUUUUAUGUUUAAAUUACUCAAAAAAAGAUUCUGGUUGCUUUAACGAAGUAAUUAUUAUUUAAUUUUAAAAAACCUAUUUUUUAUUGUUACAUAUAUUUAUAUUAUUUAAAUAAAUAGUAUUAAUUAGAAACACAUCAAAUAAAUAACAUAUUCUAGAAACUUGUGUAAAUUUUUAAAGUAAGGAUUAAAUGUACAAGAAACUGUUAUACAUAUAGUUUUAUCUUCAUAAUACCAUAUAAACUUGUAUUAUCAAUAGCUUCUUAAUUCUCAUAAAAAUAUUUGGUUGUGUCUAAGUUUGGUACGUGGACUCCGCCGAUGUUGCACCUGGACUCCAAUUGUUCAAGAUUCAAACCUCAAAAUGUUGCGAAAUCGUCUUGUCUGCGCUGAAAAAGGAAGAACAGUUGCACCUUUCCUGUUGACUGUGUCAGUUGCUUAACAGGUCUUCAAGUUCCCAGCACGCAGAGAGAAAAAAAUGAAUGCUCGGCUGUGGGUCUUUUAGUUUGCCAUAACUGAUGUUGUGAUCCAACUUUGUUCAUUAAAAACAAUAACUUAAUAUGUAUACCUCGAUUUUUGAAUUAAAUAUCUAGUACGUGGGGUAUUUUUAUUUAUUUUAUUUUUUUGCAGCUUUAGCACGAAUGCAAUGGAGUGGAUGAACCCUUAACCUAACACGCAAAGUAUUGGAUGAGUUCAAUCUUUCUAUUUCGAGGAAAUGGCACACGAAAUUGUUCUCAGUGGGCACGUUCCUUUCUUCUCCUCAUGUUCUGUUGAGUAUAAUCCAACUGUUUUAAAACAAGAGAGGAUUCCAAGAUACCCGGAAUCAAGCUCUGUUCAGCAUGCCCUCUGAUCAAGUUGUGAGAUGAGAAUUUAGGACCUAGAUUGCAGCACUUCCCAAUGGUUUGACUGCUUCGGCCAUGAAGAAUCGGGUUAAUUGAGGAUGUGGAGACGUCCGAGCAAGGGUAAUCUACGAGGACUUGACAACCUUACGCUACUCACCAGUAUUUGUAUUUCGUGUAGCAAAUGUUUGUGACCUCAGAGUAGUUCUGAAAAGGACAUAUUUUGCAGCAUCGCUAUCCAAAUUAAUUUCACAACGUUCAAACUUGCUUACUUCCAUCACUUGCUCUUCUGGGAAAUCUGAUGAAGUAAAGAGAAACACAACCGAUCAUUUAUGACAAGAACUUUGCAGAAAGGAUCAUGUCAUUGGCAAUCGCCAGUUGCCGUACGGAAGUCACUAAGAACAGACCGAUUAAUGACGCGACCAAACUCAAGAAUCCAGUUGGGAGACUUCGAAAGAAACAGGCUUCAUCAAUUAAGUGUCAAUUUGCUGCUCUAUUUUUUAUAUAUUUUAUAUUUUAUUUUAUUAAUAAAAUGACGUGGCCUUCAAUGUAGAUGUCAAGGAAGAGAAGCGUAGGUGAUUUGUUUUGCACCACACUUAAGUUUAUUGCCGACAUUCACCACCAUGUUGAGUUUGGUGGAGGAUGUACAGAUUACCUGGGUCGGUAGCACGUUGCGCAAAUGUCGGAUAAUUGAACACAAUCGACUGCAGCCUUGCGGGGAUUUUAAACCCAAAGGGAAAAGUAUCAACGUUUAUCGACAUUUAUGAGAAAGCGUAGUUUACGGUACAUGACAUGGCAAAUUCAAUACUAGUGCGUAGUGUUGGAGUUGCAGAUUUCCUGAUGCUACCUAUGUGCGCAUGUGGUGAUUCCUUAGGGAGGAAUUGAUGCUUGUUGCUAUCUUCAUUAUUUCAAGUAACAGAGAUCGCUACUUCUAGAAAAUGUAGAAAACGAUGCGGGGGCGUGUUGGAAUAGAUGGCGAUCGCACAGGCAUGCUUCCCAAUUCUACACCAGAAGUCAUAGUGGCCUCAUAUGGUUCAUGACAAAAUCAUAACUCCAGAUCCCCCCUCGCUACUCUGCAACCCUAUCAUCUGCUGCAGUUGUGUAAUUGACUCGCACCAUUGCUUACGAUUGGACGGAGAGCUGCGAAGCAGCAAUUAGGGACUUCGUGGGAAGGCUGGAGGCGCGAUUCUCAAACAUCUCUUGAGAAUUCCGAAUGACCUCUUGGGGUUGCUUCUGAAGUCUGGCCUGCUCUGGGAUCUCUGAGGCAGUGGUUGAGCUUGUGAUGGCAUGAUUGGUGUUCUGAAACAAAAUUUCAACCACCAGUCGAGAAUUUAAUGGCAAUCCCAAUCUCGGCACUGGAACAACGCGAGAGAACCUCACAUUAAUGUAAGCGAUGGAGAUUGAGAAGAAUACCUUGACAUCGACCUGGCAUUGGAGCGCGACAGCUGCGGCGUGAGAGCCUUCCUCUCCACUGAGCCAGAUUUGUCCAACUCCCUCUUGGAAUGUACCACCUGCGCCGCUGAAUUCAGUCCCGCCUCUGCGCCUGGCGCCGCGUUGAAUCGCUCGGCUUUUCUGAGUACCUCUUUACUUGAUAGCUUGGAAACAUCUAUCUUCGGAGAUGAAGGGAGCUUUUCGGAGUAUAGGAAAUCGUGAAGGGUUUUGCUGCCACGCCGUUGCUUUGAUUCUUCAAAGAAAGGCCAGAACUCCUUGGAGAUACCAACAUUGAUGAAAUUCUCGUCCCCUGACGACGAAGAAGAGGAAAAUGCAGAGGAUGUUGACGACGAUGCAGAGUCGGUCGAUUUAUCCGAAAACAUUGCAUUCACUUCAGGACUCUCCCUCUUGAAUAUUUUCAAAGGUGACAAUGACCUGAACUUCUGCAGCCUCUGGCAGAUGCCGUUUUCUUGCUCUGGCUCCAGCCCCAGAAUUGGCCAGGCGGUAGAAUGCAGGGCUCCUCUUUGAGGACUCUUGGACCUCCCACGAAGUGACAGCAGCUUCAAUGGUGAGCUGCCCGAUCGCGGCUUCCGAAAAGACCCCUGAAGAACUCCCCCAUCGGAGCCAGGGGAUGAAUCAGUGGAAUCUUUUAACUGUUUCACUGCCUGCAGCCGGGGAGGAAGCGUCAAGGGCAACAGCUGGCCAUGAAAGAAUAGCUCGUCAGCGGAGGCAAUGGAGGAGUCGUUCAGAGCAUGAGUUUCCUCCGGAGGUAUGAACCUGGCACUGCUAAAGUCGAAAUCGGAGGUGGAGGACUGACGGGAUAGCCUCUCCGGGCUGCUUGAUCUGCUCCGCGACCCAAGCUCUCUCUCCUCCACGUCCAUUUCACUGGACCCGUCAUUGUUCCUGCUACCCCUGCUUCUUUUUGGAGUGCCAGGCCUGAGCUCCCAUUCGAAGGGGACAGCGCAAUGGACCUCGCCUAAUGGCGUCUCCUCAAUUUCCCUAAGCGAAGCUCGUCGGGGACUGGUGGGGGCGCUCAGGAAGUAGGGGGUGGAGGUGGUGCUAACCUCAUCAUCGGAGAAUUUGUUGGAACUCCUGUUUCGUCUUGGAGAUAUGCUGAGACGUGCCAAGGUGGCGAGGGUCUCCAUCUUCUGAGCUGUCAGUGAGUUUAGUUCCUCGAAUGUGCGAAGGGCUUCGAGCAUGAAUAUUUAGUGCUGUGCUGGAGAUGAUUUACGGAUCGACCGGCCCAGAGAACAUUCGAUUGUCCAUGUCGUAACUGCUGAAGAAAUCCAUGAGGAGACGAGAAUGCGGAACCAAAGUACUGAGAAUUUGCUAAUCGAACAGAGUUGGUGGAGAAAGAGGGCACAAUGUGUUUGCCGAAGCUAGAUCGUCACGUCAGAUCCAAUGUGAGAUGUAAAGCUGGCGGUGCUCAACGUGGCCGAAUUUCGAGAGCUCAUAAAAAACAUCUGCAGGGAAGGGAGAAACCGCGUCCUUGUGCUUUGUUAGCGCGUCAUGAGUGAAUUGGGAAAGUUGGUAGUCUAGAAGACAAAAAAGAAGCUCACACACUGCAUAGCACCAAAAUCGGGCAGCUCAAUUCGUUCUUUCACAAACACGUGACAGAUGUUGAACCACGAGAUCGAGCAAUAGUAAACACACGCAUCUCAAUAAGCAGAACCUGAAGUUUAGACUCCAAUUGUAGCUGUGGCUGGGGAUAAGAAACCAUUAUUCAAUUCUAAAUAGCUAAGUAGCGAAAGAGCACUAGUAGAUUUCGAAGUCAUUCACCUGCAACCUCAGCUUGAUCAGGUUUCAGCCAGUCCAACAAGCAAUCCCCCAAAAAUUAACCUCCAGCGAAAGCACUCUGUCCUCACAAAAGACUACCCUUCAAGAAAGAUUGGCGAAAAAACGGAUUCAGAAGCUGAGAGCAUUGCCGACUGCAAACAAGGAAGUAACGCUACAUGACCGACAGAGGUAGGAGAGAUUACCUACUUCAAGUUCCGACUCGAAAAUUGCACCUCGUGUUACCAGUUGUAAGAGCAGUCGCCGUCAUGAACCCUCUCUCACGUCGGAAUGAUCGAAUCCUCCACAACAGAGGGGGCGCAUCUGGCGUAGAUAUGCUGGAAGAGCAGAACUACUGCGACGCGGGUUUUCGGUGGGUCCCACUAGCUCCUUGCCGCUUCUUGGUCUCUGGUCCGAUGGAGAUAGUGAUGACGGUCAUUGCGUCUACUACGCUGGCCUUUUGGUAAACUGCAUGCCUCCGUUUUCAAACUCCAGGGUUGAGUCCACGCAUCUGACCGUGUGACUCUGCCUGCUUUCCACUCUGCCUCUCCUACAACGCAUAACCCAGAUUCUCCGGGAUGAGAGAGUGUUGUUGUGUCUGGGACCUCCCUCCAUGCCGCAUAUUUUUAUCUGCUGUGGGCGACCCCCGUCGGAUCCGGUGCAAACAGACAUGCCCUCUGAAGUCAAAGCCAAUACAGUGAUGAUGGUACACUCCAUGUAUUAGUGGGUAUAUAUAUAUAUAUAUAUAUAUAUAUAUAUAAGGUUUUUCAGUUAUAUACUUAUGUAUCCUUUUGUGUGCUUUACAUUGUGAGAACCAGGGUCCGAGAUUUUUCAGAACUUCCACAUCUUGCAUUACUGUGGGGUUUUGGGUGACAACUUCUGGGGUUGUACAUUUGGUGUCUGGCUGCUGUAACCCUCUCUCACAGCUAGAUAAGAGUACUUGGACUUGGCUAACUGACACCUACUGUUCACCAAACUCAGUUAGAAUGCAUUCCUGAUAAUGUACAAGUCAGUAGCGGUAAACUGAGGGUAUAUAGAUAAAUUCCAUAAUGUUUAAUGCUAUCUCCCAAGCAGUUGAAAUUGUAACAACAGAAAAAUAAAUAAACUUUUUCAUCCAGCGUCCACGCAUACAACAAAUGCAACAAUAAUAUUCUUCCAAGAUUUAUCCAUGAGACAUGACAGUCGAAUAAUACUUUUUGACAUGUUCUAUUCUGUGUGGUUGUCCCCAGAACAUAUUGUGCUACAUGUCACAUUUCAGCAAGCCAGAUGGAAUUCCACAAUUAAUCAUGUGCUGGUUUAACUCCGAGGCAAUUACUCCAAGGAGAACAUUAAUGAUGUGAAAAUUUGGAGGGGGGCAAUGCUUCAGAAUGCUUUCAAUUGACCACAUCUUACAGUAGUUGCUCUUCAUUGAAAAAUCUGUACCUUGGUCCAGUACUUGGAGAUAGAAUGUCCUUCCGAGGAUGACGACAGAAAUAUGCUGAUGAGGAGUGUUGAAUGGAUGGGUGGAUGGAUGUGAGAGCAAUAUAGUUUGGGGUUAAUAUGAGAAAGGAAGAAGACUGUUUCACUUUGACAGAUGUUGGUGAGGUGGAGCUGGAUAAAGAGGUGGCCAGCUCCAAUGCCUCCUUUUUCUCCUCUCUCUCACAUUAGCAAGGAGCUUUCUUUGUGAGGGAGUGUAUUUUAGGGCUCUGUGAUGGAAAGAGGGCAUCAAGGAGUUGCAGUAUUUUGUCAGUUGGAAGAAACAAGUCAGUUGUUUCAUAGUCUUAUCAAGAAAAAAGUGGAAGGGGAAAAAAUAAAGUCUUCACAAGACACUUGUGGUCUGAACGGCAUUCCCACCGAGUUCAAUUGUGUGGCAUGGUAGCCACACAAUGACCAUACAUUCCAUCAUUCAAUUAGUACAUCCCACAUUAUACCUUUGCAUUAGUCACAUGAAAAAUCAAGCUCCCUCCUCCUUCUCCUUCUUCUACUCCCUUCUCUUUUUUCUUUUUUUUUUUUUUUUUUUUAAAUAUAUAUAUAUAUAUAUAUAUAUAUAUAUGAAAAAUAUAUAAUAUGCUCAUACACAAACACGUAAAAAAGUGUGAGAACAAGCUUUUGGAAAUGUGGUCUUGCUGCCCAUGUAACGAGUUGCAAAAUUUCAUUUUCCGGGAGGCCUGGAUUGAAAGCAAGACCAGAUUUUUCCUUGCUCGUGCCCAGAAAAGGAAUCCCAAAAGUAGAAACCCUGAGCUUACACAGAGGCGGUUUGGGCUUUAGUCAACUCUUCAGGUUUCAGAAUUUUCCCGCAGAAAAAGGGAUGGAAUCUUCAACAUAGUCUGCUGAAAAUAGCCUCAAAAUCUUGGACUUGCCAAUCAACAAGUCUUCUGAUUGACAUUGAGUGAAAAGACUACUGAUCUCGCUUUUAAAACUUUCUAAAUACAUAUUCAACUGUAGUUAUGACACAUGGAUGAAGUUUCAGUAUUCAUUGGUGCAUUCAGAAUGACAACUGGCUCUUGGAAAAGAAUCACUAAAAUUCUAGAGACUUCCAUGUCAGGAACCACCAACAUUGUUGGAUGAUUACACAGAGAAUCAAACCAAUUCAUGGAAUACAAAUAAACACUAAUAUUUGCCCUUGUUGGUCCCUAUAGUUUCAUGGAAUCUGUUAUAACUCCAACCAAAUGGCUGGAUUUAGUGCAUUAUUUAAUUGUCAAAGAAUGCUUCAAAAAUUCUUAUACACAGAAUCAAGUUCAGAUUAUGAUUAAUAUUAUUCUUUAUACAAUAAAACUCUUAGAGUAUGGCAUGCCAAGAAAACUAUAUUAAAAUAAUGUGUUAAUUUAUUUGAGAAGUUAAAAUUACAAUUAUAUAUAAACGCUUAUUUUGACUAGAUUACAUAGCUCAUUGAGAACACAGCUAAUUAUAUCAAAUUCUGUAUAAAAAUAUCAUAUUUUGUAUCUGUAGAACCUGAAACAAAUAAAACACUCUGUAGUAUAAAAUUUUGAAAGUUUGUGUGAUGAGCUUUUUAAUAUUUUAUAAUCAUCAAACAAUCAAGAUUAUUUUGGUUUCUUGUUUUUGUAUUUAUAAUUUUCUUUGAAAUUUUAUUUUAAACUAUUAAUUACAGAUUUCAGAGCAGAAUUAAAGCAAGAUUCAAAGCUGAAAGUGUGUCCCAAUUCCCAAGAACAAACAUUGUUGAAAGGAAGAGCCAAAAAGGCAUUUGAAGGUUGACAACCAAAAAAAACUAAAUUGAGUUUUAAGUAUUAGUCCCUACAAUUAAAAAAAAUCAGGAUCAUAAUAUUGAAUUGUUGUGUUGAAAUAUCUUACCUUGCUUUGAUGGACUGGUAGCAUGCUUGGAUAUUCAAAACUAAAAGCUAUUGAACAUGUACCAUCUGUUUCAAAGGUUUCCACAGAACCAAAACCAAAAUGAUGAACUUUCCUUCUUUGUUUCACGAAUGUGAAUGAUGCCCAGAGAGAAAUGUGAGAUGCAAAUGUGCAACAUUCUGCUUCAACACCAUAACAAAAAAGGGGGCAACUCACCACAGAGUGUCUUCCAAAAGAAAUGAAGAUGCAAAUGGCAUGAAAUCAGGAGGCUUGUUGCUGGUGAAGACAAGGGUUCCACUUCACCAUCAUCCCCCCCUCCCCUCCUGGUUGACACCAAAAGCAUGUGAGAAAAAGACACGAGGCAGCAUCAUAGCUGCUACUUGACUUUUACACAACUUAAGUAGCUUCAUCAACUGUAGAUACCCACAUAUUAAAAGGCAUGAGAAUGAACAUUUUACUCUAAACUAGGGAAAAAGAUUUAUCAGCCAUAUCCAUAUCAUUUCACCAAAUGAUGUUAAAUCCAUAAGCUCUCAUGGAGACAUAAUGCCAAAGGCCAUCAUGUUAGGGCAGACUCAACCUCACAGAAAGUGUGAGAAUGUCUCUCCCUCUUGUUUCCUCUGACCAUUUUGCUGCCUCACAGGUUGACUUUUUGCACAGCUACUAACCAGAUGAUAUCCUCUGAGACCAAUGAGCCUGACAGUGGGCCCAGCCAUGGCAUACACAUUGACUAAUCUCUGACCAUAGCCUACAUGAGCACCAUGUCACCAUUGUCAAAUUCAAAGGCUGAUGCUUAUCUUAACAGCACUCAUUUCAAUCCUAUGCCUAAUAUUGCCAAAAUAUGGAAAGAGGUCCUUCAAAUGUGUCCACACAGCAACAACUCUGAUCCAACUUCCAAGCAGGCUCAAGCUCUCACCCAAGAGCAUGAGGAAGAGGGCUUUAUUGGCUCAAAGUUCGUGUUUUCAUUCACAUGUUAGGAACCAAGUUGAAAAACUACUGUCACACAGGUUCAAACUCUGCUUCUGGAUUGGUACUUGGACAAAGAUAAAUAAAAAACCAGGUUUAUAACUUUUUGAAAGCCUCAGGUUGUGUGUGUGUCAAACAUCAGCAAUGGUCUGGGAUACUGAUGCAAAAUGGUGCUGGUUCAGGAUUAAAUGCAAUUAAUUGUGUGACCAUCUCUAGUUACUAGCUGCAAGCCAAACUAAUAGGACUCUCAAAUCAACCCAACUUUGAAUAACCAAAUAAUUUGAGUCUUUGCAUUGUAAGGUUCUUUGAUGCAUAACAUGACAACAAAAGGCAACCAGGUUGUAUGGAACAGACAAUGCCAGGCAGAGCAUUGGCCUGCCAGCCCACAUCAUCUACUCCUCUUUUCUGCAGACAUAUAUUCAUAUGAGAGUUUUUUAAGGUUUAAAAAUGGUUGAAUGGAGCAAAUAAAAUUGUUUUACAAGAUAGGAUCAAGAUGACUGUUCAAAACAAAUAGAUUGCUAUCAACAUGAGUUUUACUUGUAAUUCAGAAGUGCACCUGAAGGGGAGUUUUAAAAGUAGGAGAUAGAUGGACCAAACGUGGAAGCACAGCUUCUGCGGAAGCACCAAAGGGGGUGGGAAUCCCCCCAAUAUAAGCAAAUUUAUGGAUUUGAAUGAAUUUAUUGUAGCACAUAAUGAGUGGACUAGCUGGAAGCAUUAUCAGAGAAGGGGAGAAACCUCAACCUCCAUAGGGUCACUACAACAUUAGAGAAGGAAAGAAACCUCAACCUCCAUAGAGUCACCGCAACAUCAAAGAAGGAAAGAAACCUUGACCUCUGUAGGGUCACCACAACAUCAGAGAAGAGAGAAAACUUCAACCUCUAUAGGAUCACUACAACAUCAAAGAAGGGGAAAAAUCUCAACCUCUACAAGAUGACCACAACAUUGGAGAAAGGUGGAAACCUCAACCUCCAUAGGAUCACCACAACAUCAGGGAAGGAAGGAAACUUCAACCUCCAUAGUGACACUAUAACAUCAAAGAAGGGAUGAAACCUUAACCUUAAUAGGGUCACCACAACAUUAGAGAAGGGAAGAAACCUCAAUCUCUAUAGGAUCACCGUAAUAUUAGAGAAGGGAGGAAAUCUCAACGUCUAUAAGGUCACUAUAACAUAAGAGAAGGGAAGAAAUCUCAAAUUCCAUAGGAUCAGUGCAAUAUCAGAAAAAGGAGGAAACCUCAACCUCCAUAGGAAUACUAUAAUAUUUGAGGUACAAAAGAAAUUAUCUUGCAGAGAUAUCAAACAAUCAAAUAUAUGAUAAUAAGAAUGUAUGAAUUGAGCAAUGACUUUCCCAUUUGGUUGGCAUCUAUCAUUCUAAUAUCAACCUCAAUCAAAGUAAAAUGUUUAGAACUUGAUUUAAGUUUUUGACAAGCUCUACUAUAGUGGGGACUUGUGUAAUACUAAGACCAUUGUAAUUCACUGCUGAAAUACAAUUGGAGAGAAUCCUUUUCUCAUAAAGUGCUUCAUCUAAUACUCUAAGGUGGAUAACAAGAGAACUAUCUAUUCAUCUUAUAAUAUUUUUUUAUAAAUGGUUUAAAAAGCAAGGUAUCUUAAGUGAACUACUUACUUCACCCCUAUCCUUAUAGCCAUUCAAUAAAACCAUCACUUGACAAAAUCUGAGGAUAGAAAUUUCACUAUAUCAAUGAUACUAAUAAUUUUAUUAAUAUCAUGAAAUAUUGUAGCAAGCUCGUCAAAAAAGAAUAUGCAAGCAAUUAGAUACUCCAUCCACUCUUGUACCUACAUGAAGGUUUUUGAAAUGUUGCAAAAUGUAUAAGGCCUCAAUGACUUGGCCAAAGUAAAAAUUAUUUUAAAAUACAUAUUUUUGGAUUAAAAGUAUUAUGUUUUUAAGAAUACAAAUUGAGGGAACAAAAAGUAGAAAAGUUCUCUAAUAGAAUUUGGCUAGGAGUCAGCUUCUACAUAUAUGAUGUUACAAUAACAUACAAUAAUAAAGAAUAUAAUAUAACAAAGCUAAAAGGUGAGAGAUUUGGAUGUGGAUCUUUUUUCAACUCCAAUUCUUAAUCAUAUCCUUUCACUACUUUCAAUUUGGAAGGGCAUAAUGGAUCAAAUUAUAUAACAUUCUUUGAAAAGAUUUAACUAUAUUCAAUAUUUUUGCCCCAUAGUUUGGCCAAUAAUGGUGCAAAUUUUGGAUAAAGCUUUUGGUAGAAUUAUCUAAGGACUUUGUGAGGAUAAUAUUCACCUCUCAACUCAAAUUACAAGUUGGCUUCAAUUAAGAGUUGCUUAUAAUUGGUGGUAUUAAGUAAAAGUAAUAAGAAAUAAGAAUAAAGAAAAAUAAUACAAAACAAGUGAAGCAAGUGUAAUCAAAUAAUUGUACACUACAAAACUAGUUAUAGUUUGUUAAUUAGAUUUUUAUCUAAUAAAAAAUAAAAGUAAAAAAUAAAAAAUAUAUUUUUAAUCAAGUAAUUUUUUAAAUAUUUCUAAUGACAUAAAAAAAAAAUAAUUUCAAAUUACUAUGAGUAAUUUAUGAUGUAUUAAAGAUAGAAUUUAAAUAUUAGAAAAAUUAAAUAAAUAAUUUUUAUCUCAAGGAUAAUUUGCUUAAAAGAUCAAGAAUUUGAGCCUCACCAAGGCUCAUAAGUAGUGUAUAUGAGUUGUUAAAAGAGGCCACAAGUCCUUCGUCUUAUCUUCCUACUUAUAUCCAAGGUGCUACAAUCCAUAUGGAACUUGUGUACAUCUUUUUCUAUAAAGAUUAGACUAGCUACUGGUCCUCCUAUUUCCUUCUAGUAAAACUAAUAUUUUUAUAUUUUUGACUUUUCUAUGGUAUUUAAAAAUAACCAAUUAGCAUAGGAACCUUUUAUGACCUUCGAAUCUUGCUUCAUUUCUUCAUAAUGGCUCCUAAAGUGGCAAAACUCAAUUUUAUCAAGGUCUUGAAAUUUUCUAUAAAAUUUUCUAAAAAAAUCUAAAUAAAUUCUAAAAAAUAAUAUAAUAUUUUUAUAAUACUAAUAUCUAUUCAAGUCUAUAUUUUUUUUUUACCUUAGUGAUAUUUUAUAGUAAUAAAAUCAAUUUAUAUCUACUAAAAAUCUUUUUUGUUAUAUAAUUAAUUAGAAAGACAUGAAGUUCUCCUCAUGCUUCUUCUAACUACUAAUUAAUUAUUGAUAGGAACUUUAUAAGUAAUAAAUGUAGAUAGGAGGCCAAUAAAGACAUUGGUCUCAAUAAAUAAUGCUUCAUACUUAAUAAUAAAUAAAAAUACUAAAUUGACUAAGAUAAUUACCUCCAAGACUUAUUAAGACUCUAUCUUUAUGACUUUUCUUUCAAUAAGACUUUUAUAACUUAUAAAUAUCCUGAAUUCUAAUAAAUAAUUAAAUCAUAAAAAAAAUCUAAUCUUAAUAUUUAUAUAAUAGAAUGAUUUAAUUUUUAUUUUUAAGUAAUCCACCAAUUUAGAUACAUUAGUGGGACUCAGAGACUCCAAAUGGCUACUAGUGAGGGCUUUGAAUUUUGUUGAAAGAUGCACCAAUAAGUCUAGUGGUGAAGAAUCUACAAUAUUGAAACACAAACUUAGAAUUUUUCAUUCUUUCAUGUGAGCCUUAUAUAUAGAGGAUUUCUUCCCUCUAUCUAAUAAUAGCUUGUUUUUGCUAGGACAACAAAAGAAGAAUAAGCUGGCAGUUCAUUGCUUGUUUAGACAUUGUAUAUUCCUUCAUAAUUUUUGAAUAGACUAUUAUAAAAGCUGCAUAUAGAAUUUGUAGAGAUAGCAUUCAUUUUAAUCAUCUUCUUAUAUAGAGACAAGUUCUACUUCAAAAAAAGGUCCAUGACAAUUUGUAUAUGUAAUGAAUGCAAAACACCCCUAGAAGACAAAAAUCUAGCUAUAGAUCUAAUUAUAAUAUUCUUUAUUCGCUCUUACUUUUUUAAUUCUAAAAAAUACAAAUAAGUUCUAUUAAAAUACUUAAAAACUUAAGCAAAAAUCAUCUAUAUAAGCCCUUUAAUUUUCCUUAGAGUUAAGGCCAAAUUAGCUUCAAAGGCUUCUAAUAGUUGCAUGGUGGCCUUAAGUUGUGUCAUGACUCGAUUGAAGGAAGUUUGACAUCCUAAUGUUUAUCCGUUAGAAUCUUUCUUUUGGAUACAACGUAUUAUUUGUCCAUAGUCACUUCUUCUUAAGAUGUUCUCUUUUUCAAGGUGUCAAAGCCUACAUGGGCAUCUUUGCUUAGGACACUACUCUUGACUUAACUUAAAUCAAAAUCAAAAUCAAACAAGUUUCAAUCAUUAUAACUUUUUGUUGCAAUAACCUAUGAUGCUAAUACUCUGAUGCUUUGGAGCUAAGUUUUGGCUUAUUCCUUAAGGUACCUAAGACUAAGCUUACAAUAUCUAAAUGACUCUACUCCGAGUUGUACUUCCAUUCAAUUUAGAAUUUGAGAUAGGUGGUGGUCCACCUUUAUAUAGCUUUCUUUUGCAAGAUAAGCUAUUGCAUUUAUUUUUAUAAAAGUUUUUUUUAUCUAACAAGCGAUUCAUAGUCAAAAAAAAAAAAACAACAACAACAACAACAACAACAACAACAACUAUGUAAUUGUCAUAGAUAUAUAUUUAUUGUAAUUAUUACUUAGAUAGUAUGAAUAGAUGGAAGUAAAUAAAAAUAGAUUAAUUUUAUAAUAUCUUCUAAAAAAAAGCUUUUUAGAAGCUUCAUAGAUACGAUUUUUACUUUACAUGUGUUUGUAAUUGAUUAGUAGGUUAGAAACUUAGUCAACAAGUUAAUCACAUGCCAUAUAUGUUGAAAACUUAUAAAAUAAGCUAAGUAUGUGGAAUCCAUAUAAAUAACUUAUCUUGCAAGUUAAAAUACAUUGUUGUAUUAUAUGUGUUCUUGCUUGAAAAUGCAUUGGGUACCUAAUUGAAGAAUGUAAGUAGAAAUGUAAUAAUAAUCCUACUAAGUCUAAUAGAAUAUUAAAUAAAAUUUAUAUAAAUCUUAAUAAUCCUAAUCAAAUUUUGACCAAUCUAAAAUAAAUUUAAAAGAAGUUACAAAAGAAAUAUGAAAAUAAAUCUUUAAAAAAAUAAAAAUAAUCUUAAAGAAAUAUUAAAAAUAAAAAUAUUUAAAUAAAAAAUAAAGAAUCUUAAAUAAAUACUAAAAAUAGAAAUCUUAAUUGAAUCUCAACCAAAUUCAAGGUCAAAACCUAAUUUAAAUCUUAAUUGAACCUUAAUCACAUCCUAGAUAUAAUCUUAAUGAAAUCCUAAUAAAAUCUUAAACCAUAGAAAAAUCUUAGAAAAAUCCUAAUCAAUCCAUAGUCAAGUUUUAAAUCAAAUUCUAAGAAAAUCCUAAUCCUAACCAAACUCUAAACCAAAUUCUAAGCCAUAAUCAAACCAUGGGCAGAUUCUAAACUAAAUCCUAUAGCAAAAUGGAAUCUCAACAACUAAUGAUGAAAUUAUUAAUAUCACUUCAAAAUUUGCACACUUCUUAAUGUUUUAGUUAAAAAUAAGUAAAAGAAAGAUAAAAUUGAUUUUACUUUUAAAUUGAGAGAAAUAUAAGAUAAUCCAAUCUAGCAUUGGAUGGCCUCUUAUUCCAACCUAAAUGUAGAACAUUUAGCACCAAUUCCUCUUUAAAUUUUUGAAUUGCUUUCAAAUUUUAUCUAAACAUUUGAAAUCAAAUCUAAUAUCCACACAAAGAAAAUUCACCUCAAUCCAAUUGCUAGAUUACUAAAGAUCUUAGAAACACUUAGUGAUCCUCAAAUUCAAAUUUGUGAGACCUUAAUUCAUAAAAACCUUCACAUAUUUCAAUCUAAUUAUUUGAUUGACCUCAAAUUUACACACAUAUUUACAACUAGUACACUAAUAUAUUAUUCAAAAUUUAAUUGUAUACUCACCACAAAACUCAAGAAACUCUUAAAUUUAUAGAAGUCCCCUCUAUAAAAAAGUAACAUUAAGACUAAAUCUUUUAUUAUCUUUCUAUCUUUUAUCUUUAUUUUUUUACUAUAUCUUUUUGCUAGGCUCUUCUAUAAUAAUAUCCAUAUUUUUAUUAUUCACCAUAUAAUCAUAUCAUUACACAAUAACAUUUGAGUACUAAAAAACUAAAAAUUGCCUUACUUAAGAAGUUUGAUGGUACAAGAUCAAAGUUUUAAGAAUUCAUCAAUUAAGUAAAAUUAGCAAUUGAACUUGAACUCUAAAGCUAUCCAACUCCAAGAUCACAAGUCAGAUUUAUUGAAACAAUACUUUUUGAUUCUGUAUUAUCAUGGUUUUUAUCUUUUUUUGAACAAAAUGAUCUAAUAUUAGAUAAUUUAAAAUCUUUUUUGGUAAAAUUUUGAUCUAUAUAUAGAAAAAAUGAUGCAAUUUAUAUUAUAAUAAAUAAGAAUCAUAUUUUGUAAUAAGAAAAUUAAUAUAUAACAUUGUAUGCUAUAUAAUAUUGAUAAUUUAUGAUUGAUAUCAAGUGAAAUAAUAUUGCACUCAUUAAUCAAUUUUUUCAUGAAUUAUAAUAUGAAGUAAAGAAAUUGAUGCUCAAUUUACCUAAUCCUCAAAUAUUAAGUCAAGUAAUUGAUUUUGUUGUAAAGUGUGACAAUUGACUUUUAAAAUUUUGGUUUGAAAAUAACAUAAGUAAAUCUUAAUGUUAUUACAAUUCAAUGGCAACAUUAAUAUCUUGUCAACACAUACCUUCAAAAGUAGAGGAUAUAUAAAUUAAUUUGAUUUAUUUCAAACCUCUUAUUCAAAAAAAAGACUCAUUAUCAUUAAGAAGGAUUAUAUUUAUAUUAUGGAGAACCAAAGUACACUAUUCAAUAUUAUUUAAAGAAGCAACGUAAUUAUAAAAUAAAAGUAUAAUUAUCAAAGAAGACAAUAUGUCAAAAAAUAAGUUUGUCUAGCUAUAAUAGAGAUUCUAUAAUUGGAACUUUGUACAAUACCUAAUGAUGGUCUUAUUCUUUCUUCAUAAUUCUUUCUUUAUUUUACAACAGAUAUUAGUUUAGGACCUAAACAUCACAAAUCCUAUACCCUGUUAAAUUUAAGAGCUUUAACUUAUUUUUCAAAUGAAGAGUUUGUUAAAAGACAUAACAUACCUUUAGAAAAAAAAAAAAACAAAACUUGUUCAUGUAGAAGUCAUAGAUGAUUGUCCAUUGUCUUUUGGAGAUGUUAUUUAUGAAAUAUUUCUUCUAAAAGUAGUAAUUAACAAUCAUAGUAGCUUUGUAGUAUUUAAUAUCAUUAAAUCUUUUUAUAAUCUAGUUAUUUUAAAUUUAUCAUGAUUAAAAAAAUAUAAUCAUUGAAUAGAUUGGAUUUCUUGUAGUCUUGACUUUUUUAAAAGUGUAAAAAAGAUGUAGCGAAUUAAAUAGAAAGUUAUAAGUCUAAUACAAUCAAACCUGUAUUUGUAGGUGUAAGAGCUUUCUUGUAUGCUGUAAAAAAAAAUCACCUUGUGUUAGUUAAACCACAUCUAUUUCUAAUGGUGAAAAGACUUCAAAUGGCAUUCUUAGUCAAUAUUAAGAUUUUAAAGAUAUAAUUAAAAAGAAGAAUCUAGAUUUUCUUCCAAAUCAUCAUUUCUAUGAAUAUUCAAUUGACCUUUAAGAAUGAGCUCAACUACUAUUUGGACCAAUCUACAGUUUAUUAUAAAAUGAAUUGAUUAAAUUCAAAGAGUAUAUUAAAGAGAAUUUAACCAAGCACUUCAUGCGCUAUUCCAAAUCUCUCAUAAGAGCUCCAAUUUUAUUUUAGAAGAAAAAAAUUGAUCAUUAUAGAUGUGUUUUGAUUAUUAGAGACUUAACAAGAUCACCAUAACAAACAACUAUUUGCUAUCUUUAAUAUUUGGACUUUUUGUUCAAUUAAAUCAAGUUAAGAUCUAUAUAAAAAUAGAUCUACAAGGAGCAUAUAAUCUGGUAUGUAUCAAAAAAAGAGAUGAAUGGAAGAUUGUAUUUCAAACAAGGUAUAGACUCCAUCAUAAGUCUAUCAUUUGAAAUAAUGUAUCGUAAAAAAUUAACUUCAGUAGUAUGAAAUAUAUAUUUUUUUUAUCUUGAUAUAGAAUCUUGUAUCUCUUAGUUUUUUGUAACACAUAACAAACAUGAAAUUCAUAUUUUUUUGAAUUCUUAAAAUAGAUUAAGUUAUCUUCUAGAUAGCAAAAAAUAAAAUUAUCCAAAAACUCUCAAAAGACAUCAUUUAUUAGAUGUUAAAAAGUUGCUAGUAUAUUUGUAAGUCUAAAAGACAUGACAUUAUAUUCCAUUUUAUGUGAAAACAGAUGUAUUAAAUUUUGUUUUAUGUUCCAUACUAUCACAAAUAAGAAUAGAUGAUAAAUUUCAUUCUAUAACUUUUUAUUCUAGAAAAUUUUAGCAGCUAAAAUAAACUAUGAGAUUUAUAAUAAAGAAUUUCUUAUAAUUGUGGAUUUAUUUCAAGAAUGGCACUAUUAACUAGAAGGUACUCUUAGUUUAGUCACUAUAUAUAUAAAGUAUAAGAAACUUGAGUAUUUUAUAUCAACAUGCAUUUUGAAUCAUCAUUAAGCCUAUUGGAGCAUGUUCUUAUCAAGAUUCAAAUUUAAGAUCAUUUAUCAAUUACAUAAAUAACAAUAUUUAUUAGAUACACUUUCUAGACAAUCAUAUCUUGUACCAAAGAAAAGAGAUCUACUUUUGAUCAACAACAAAUAAUUCUCUUGAAGCUAAAGUAUUUUUAUCUUUGAAUAAUGAAAUCAAUACUAAUUGUUUAUUCAACUUUUAUUUUGCAAGUUCAAUCAAUAUUUUUUGAUAUUCUUAUUUGUGAUAUUAAAAAAAAUCCUUCAAAGUUUCAUGAUACAUCUAAGUUUGAAUUCAAAUAUAAUUUAUUAUAUUUUGAGAGGUGCUUAUAUAUUCCAAAAGAUGAAGCUUAAUUAUGUAUUUUUUAAACUCAUCAUGAUUUUUUGAUAAUAGGACAUUUUGAAUAUAAUAAGACUUUAAAACUAAUAUCUAGGAAUUUUUAGUAGCCUCAAAUAUAGAAGAUGAUCAAAGAUUUUAUACAAUCCUAUGGUAUCUCUUUAAGAUCAAAAAUUCCUUAUCAUCAACACUAUAGACUUCUUUAGCCAUUAUCUAUUCCAAAAUAAUCAUGAUUUUCUAUUUCUAUGGAUUUUAUCACGGAUCUUCCAAUCUUAGGUUCUUGUCAUUCUAUAUUUGUGAUAGUAGAUUGUUUCAUUGAGAUGGCAUAUUUGUACUUUGUAUCAAAUCUAUCAUAGAUAAAGAAACAACUAAGAUUUUUUUUGACAACAUCUAUUACUAUCAUAUAUUAUCUAAAUAUAUUAUAUUGAAUAGAAAAAUUUAAUUUAUAUUAAGAUUUAAAAAAUACUUUUUAAGAUUCUAAAGAUGGACAUAAAACUAUCUUUGACUUUCUAUCCUCAAAUUGAUGAAUAAAUAAAGCAUGUAAAUCAAGUUUUAGAGCAAUAUUUGAAAUAUACUAUUAAUUAUUAAGAAGAUGAUUGGACAAUUUUUUUACCAUUGGAAGGAUUUUCUUAUAAUAAAAAUAAAAUCAUCUAUAUAAUAAAUAUUUUUAUUUUUUAAUUAUGGUUAUCAUAUACAACUUGAUAUUUUUGACUUUUCAAAAGUUAAUAAUCUUGAGAAAAAAGAUUUAAAAAAUUAUUUAUCUAAGCUACAUACAAAAAUAAAGGUAAGACUAAAAGAGGCUCAAAAACAACAAAAGAACAAUUCAAAUGCCUAUUGCAAGAAACAACUUCAUUUCUACAUUAGUGAUAAGAUAUGAUUACUUUGUCAUAAUAUUAAAACUAUUUAUCCUUGUGACAAGUUAGAUUACCAUAAACUUGGAUCAUUUCUUAUUUGUGAAUAAGUCAAUCUAGUUAUUUAUUGAUUACAUCUAUUAGACUCUAUAAAAAUCCAUCUCAUAUUUUACAUAUCUUUUUUAGAGCCAUAUAAGACAAUGAAUAUUUUAGGAAGAAGAUAAAUACCAUCGCCUCUUAUAGAAAUAGAUAAUAAUCAAAAAUUCAAGAAAGAAGAAAUUUUAGACUCAAGAUGGCAUUGACAUAGGUUAAAAUAUCUUCUUCAUUAGUAUGGAUACAAUAUUAAUAAAUACAUAUGAAAGCCAGCAAAAAAUCUUACAAAUGUAGCAGAGAAGGUCAAAGCUUUUUUCAUCAACAACAUCCACGAAAACCAAGAUGAAAGAUAAAAAAAGCUUUGCUAUAAAAAGAAAAUUUAAAAAGAUUAUAUUUUAUUUUCUAUCUUUAUUUUUAGUUUCUACAUAAUUCUAAUAUUAAGGAAAUAAAGAACCAACAACUAGUAGAUUCAACUAAAGAGCUAUCAUUUAUUGACUUAUUGAAUAAGAAAUUGUGAUUAUUAUAGCCUUCAAGAGAAUAUUCAAGUCCUUCAAAAACAACAUGUUCUUUCUUGAAUAAAUAGCAAGAUACAACGUAUUUGGUAUUACAAUAUGAUAUUUCAAUAUUUGGUGAUUGUAUUAGAAGUAAAAAUGACUCUUGAUGGUAUUACAAAUUUUUCGUUUGAAAAAAGUUAUGAAGGUCUCAAUAAUGAUUAAAUAAUAGUGUGGUCUUCUUGCCUUGAAAUAAGAUAUUAUCAAUGGCUACAAGGACCUAUCAACUACCUUUGAAAGGAAUAAAGAUUAGAGUAUGUGGUAAAUACAAUUUGCUUCAUCUUAGAUUUCCUCAACAUGUAGUCAUCACUUUUUUAGAUCUUGACUUUAAAAGAGGAAGUAAUGUCACUAAUAUAAUAUUUAUUAUAAUUAUUAUUUAAAUAAUAUGAAUAGAUAUAAGUAGAUAAAAAUAGAUUAAUUUUAUAAUAACUUCUAAAAAAGCUUCUCAGAAGCUUUAUAGAUAUUAUUUUGACUUUAUAUGUAUUUUUAGUUGAUUGAUAGGUUAGAAACUUGAUCAAUAAAUUAACGACAUGCCAUACAUAUUGAUAGCUUAUAGAAUAAGCUAACUAUGUGGCGUCCAUAUAAAAAACUUAUUUUGAAAGUUAAGAUAUGUGUUGUACAAAGUCAAUACAUUUUUGAGGUCCUUUAGAAUAUUGCUACAUAACUUUUAAGUAGAUAGUAUAUAUAAACAUAAGAAUAAAGCCUUUUUCACUCUUAUUAAUUUAUUUCUUCCUUCUAGUCUAGUUUUAAGAGUCUUUGGUUUUCUUAUCUUUUGACUAUAUCCAUUUUAGUUUCUUUUUUAAUAUACAUAUUUCUUUAAUUUUAUUUUAUUUUACUUCUUUAAAAAAAUCUUACUUCUUUAUUUAUUUUUAUUAAGUCUUUAUUCUUGAUAGAAAUAUGAUAAUAGUAAUUAAAAACUUAUAAGAAAGUACAAGAUGCUCUUAAAAAUAAGCUUGUUGUAUAAGUUAUCUAGACAAGUUAUAUGAAAUAAAAAAGAAAAAAAAAAUUAGAAGGCCAAUCCAUUUGUAGUGAGUUAAAAUAAAAAAAGUAAUAUAAUCAAGGAUCAUAAGACUUCUUUAUUAUCCAUUACAACUUGCAAAAAUAAAAUAAGUCUUGUUUGUAAUACAUGUAAGAAAAUUUCUUGGCUUAGAUGGAAGAAUGUUGAAAUUUUAAAUAAUUUUUUGGAUUAUGUUUGAUUUUUUUUAAAUGCUUAAUAAAAUCAUCUUAAAAAAUAGCCUACCUCCAAGGAUUAUCAAAAAUAUGAUACUUUUAAUUUACAAAAAUUUAUUUAAGCAAAAAUUGAUCAAUUAAUGAUUGAUCAUAUUAUUAAAUAAAAAAGAAUAGAUAUUUAUUCAAAAUUAAUAUAAUAUUGAAACUAUAAUGGCAUUGUUAAAGAUAAGAAGACUAAAGAGCCUUGAAACAAGACUAAAGAUUUAAAAAUGCAUUCAAAAGAAUAAAGAAGGAUUCAUUUUUGCCUCCAAAUAUACUAUCUAACUAAGAAUUAUGUAAAAAUAUUCUAUAAGACCUCUAAUAUAUAUCCAACUUGCAAGAUACAUAUUUAAUUUUUAAGUCAAGUCUCAUAUAUGUACAUAAUAUAUUUAGCUUAUAUCACAAUCUACUAAUAUGUGCUAACAUGUAGCUAAGUUCUUAGCCAAAUUUUUAAUCUAUCAAUCAACUAUAAAUAUAUCUAAAGUCAAAUUCAAAUCUAUGAAGCUUUUAAAAAGCUUCAUUAAAAGAUAUUAUCAAAUCUAUCUAUAUUUAUCUUCUAUCUAAUACUUCUUAUUUAGAUAAAUAUGUAUGUUUUUGAUAUUACUCUCUUUUUUAGGAUCAAGUUUCAUAAGGAAUAAUAAUCAUAUGUUGAAAAAGUUUAAAAUGUCACAAAUUUUAUUUGCUAUUUAUUUUGAUCUUUCUUUUCUUUGAAUAUAGUUAAUAUAUCCUUUCAAUUAUUGAUAGUAUUUUAUAUCAAAGUAAGAAGACCACCCUAAUAUUUGAAUACUAUUGAUGUUUUUAUAACUCCUUUUAAAUAAAACAUUUAGAACAUUGUCCAUCAGAGGUGGUUCCUACCUCUAAAAAUAUCACCAAACAUCAAGAAUCUCUUUCAAGAUUAAUCCAACUUAUUAUAAUAUCAAGACUAUUUGUCUUUAUAAUAAUCCAACUUAUUAUAAUCAAUUUUGAAUUUUCAAAAGUUGAUAAACUUAUGGCAAAAGAAUUAAAAAAUUAUUUAUCAAAGCUUCAUGCAAUAAUAAAGGCCCAAUUAAAAAAAAAAAAAAAAAAAAAAAAAAAAAAAAAAAAAAAAAAAAAAAACCCCCCNNNNNNNNNNNNNNNNNNNNNNNNNNNNNNNNNNNNNNNNNNNNNNNNNNNNNNNNNNNNNNNNNNNNNNNNNNNNNNNNNNNNNNNNNNNNNNNNNNNNNNNNNNNNNNNNNNNNNNNNNNNNNNNNNNNNNNNNNNNNNNNNNNNNNNNNNNNNNNNNNNNNNNNNNNNNNNNNNNNNNNNNNNNNNNNNNNNNNNNNNNNNNNNNNNNNNNNNNNNNNNNNNNNNNNNNNNNNNNNNNNNNNNNNNNNNNNNNNNNNNNNNNNNNNNNNNNNNNNNNNNNNNNNNNNNNNNNNNNNNNNNNNNNNNNNNNNNNNNNNNNNNNNNNNNNNNNNNNNNNNNNNNNNNNNNNNNNNNNNNNNNNNNNNNNNNNNNNNNNNNNNNNNNNNNNNNNNNNNNNNNNNNNNNNNNNNNNNNNNNNNNNNNNNNNNNNNNNNUCAUAAGAAUUUGAAAUUGAUAGAUCCAUAAUAAAAUCUAUAGAAACAAAAGACCAUGGUUGUUUUGAAAUAAGUAAUGGUAGAAAAAGUCCAUAAGAUCAAUGACAAGGGAUUUUUAAUUUUAAACAAAUAUCAUAUGAUUGUACAAAGUCUUUAACUACUUUCACAUUUGAGGCCACAAAAAAUCAAUAGAUAUUAAUUUCAAAAUCUUGUUAUAUCCAAAAUAUUUUAUAGUAGAAAAAUUGUGAUAAGCUUGAAGAAUAUGUAAUCAUGCUUUAUUUUUUGAAAUAUAUAAGUUUUCUUCAAAAUAGAAUAGAUUAUUCUUGAAUUCAAACUUAGAAGUAUCAUGAAACUUAAAAGAAUUGUUUUUAAUAUCAUAAAAAAAAAUAGAAAAUAUACUCAAUUGAACUUGCUUAAAAAAAAUAAAUCAAUAAUCAAUGUUGAUUUUAUUGCUCAAAGAUGAAAAUAUUUUAAUUUUAAGAGAAUCAUUUUUAUUAAUAAAAAAUUAUAUUUCUUUCUUUUGGUACAUAAUAAGAAAAUCCAGAUAGAGUAUCUAACAAAUCUUAUUAUUUUUAUAAUAGAUAAAUAAUCUUUAAAUCAAAUCUUCAUAAAAAUAUACUCCAACAAGCUUAACAACAAUUUGAAACAUGUGUUGAUAUGAAAUAAUUGAGAUUUUUGUGAUUCAUAUAUAUAAUGAUUAGAAAAAAAAACAUCUUAUAAAUAAUGAUGCUAUUCUUGAAAUAAAUCCAUAAUUUUAAGAAAUUUUUUAUUCUAGAUCUUGUAGUUGAUUUUGACUAUUAAAAAUUUUCUUGAAUAGAAAGCUAUUGGAUAGAGUUUGUCAUUUGCUCUCAUUUGUAAUAAUACCAUAUUUAAGGCAAAAUUGGAUAUAUUUUUUUCUAUAAAAAAUAUCUUCGAGAAGCCAAUACAAUACAAAAUUGAUUCAAAAAUAAAUAUUAUUUUUAAAGCUUCAAAUGAUGCUUGAGCUUCUUUACUCUACUUAAGUUUAUUUUUAUAAGUCAAAUGUAUUAGGUGGAGAUAUAAAUUGAAAAAAAAUCUUGAUAAAGAUUUGAUAAUAAUUGAUAAAUUUCAAAAAAUAUUAUAUAUUUUUUAUUAUUCUUAAUAUCUUUUAAUCUAUAAUAGCUUGGAGCCUCUUAAGAUCCAUUAUAAGACUAUUAUUUGAAAUAAUGUAUCCUAAAAAGUCAACUUAAGUAGUGCAAAAUAUACACUUUUCUAUCUUAGUAUAUAGUCAUACAUUUCUUAAUUUUUAUAACAUACAACAAACAUGGUAUUCAUAAUUUUUUAAAUUUUUAGAUUAGAUUAAAAUAUUAUUUAAAUAAAAAAAUUAUUAAGAAAUUUAUAAAAAAUAUCAUUUUUUACAUAUUGAAAAGCCAUUAGUAUAUUUGUGAGUCUAAAAGGCAUGACAUUAUAUUUAAAAUAUCUAUACUUAGUUUGAAAUGCAGUCUUUUAUUAAUUUUCUUCUUUAAUAUGAAGUUAUUUGUAUAUUUUUUAUAGAUUAAUUUUUGUAAAGAUCUUUUUUUGAUUGAAUUGAUCUAAAAAUCUUAAAAUCAAAGUUAAAAGAUACAUAUUUUUGAUAGUAAUCAUAUUGAAUCCUUGAUAGUCUACAUACAUAUGCAAAGUUUUAUUUUUUUUUCUUCACAAAUAAAAUAAGAGAUCCUACUAGACAAUUUGAAUGGUGUAUGAAAUUCUUGGCCAAAUUAUUGUCAAUGUAUUCAUUGAGUGUAGCCAACUUGUUUUAUGAUAAGCUAUAGAUUGGUCUAAAUGACAAUUAAGUUUCAUCUAAAAGAUCAAUUUAAUAAUUUUAGGGAUGAUACUCCAAAAGAGUAUUUGCAUUUCUCUUCUAAAAAAUUUCAUGGUAACAAGCUACUAAUACAUACAACACAUGACUAACUUGGCCAAGUUUCUAACCUACCAAUCAACUACAAAUACAUUCAAAGUAAAAUCUACAUCUAUAAAGCUAUUAAGAAGCUUUUCCUUAAGAUAUUAUCAAAUCUAUCUAUAUUUAUUUUCUAUCUAAUAUUUCAUAUUUAGGUAAAUAUAUAUGUCUUUGAUAAAUUUCUAGUGGCUUAUUGUAUCUACAUAGAAAAAUUAAUUAUGAAUAAUAUAUAUGGAAGUAAACUAUUUAGAUCUUUAUUUGGUUUAUUUUUUAUUUUUUAUGUUGUGAAUAAAUUUAUAAAAACCUAUAUAUAAAAGAAAUUUAAUUAUUGAUGCAUUAUUCAAAUUAAUGCUACUAGUAGAUGGAUGAUUAUUAAUAAUAUUUUAUUUUCAUUGCUAUUUUUCUUCAUAUUGGUAUGAAGGAGUACAAAGCAAUGUAUUACAAAAUUUAAGGCCUCUUUAGGUAUUUAUCUUGCCUAUAGGACUAUAAAGUGUUUAAGAACAAAAGUUAGAUGGCACCAAUAUUGCCAAUUCAAAGCCAAAUCAAGCAUCAAUCUUAUAUAUUCAAAAGACACUAUCAUAUAAGAUAAUUUUUUAUUUGAAAAUAUACUAGAUAUCUAGCUGUAGAGAGUUUAGUUUUAACUUCUUGGACAAGUUCCAAUAAAUGAUGUAUUCUUAUUAUAGAGGCCAAAUAAAUAUAAUAGUAUCAAAAGAUAUUUUACUGAUAAAAUCUUUUUAUAUUUAAGAAGCUUUACAUAUAAGGCUUUCUAAAGAAUCUAGUAAUGUCCUAAUAUCCUUUGCUAUACCAAAUCAUAACUAAUUAAUUUCCAAUGAGUUUGAUUUCCCAUAAAUUCAAAGAAAAUCCAUAAUCCUCUUACAAAAAUUUAUCUUUAUAUCAUGAAUUUUUCAAAGCUCCAUAUCUCCAUCUUUCACAUAUAUACAAAGUCUUGGCUUCCAAAAAUCCCUUUACUUUGCAUAAAAUAUCCAAAUUAUUGCAAAAUCCUUUCAAAACAUUUUUUUUCAAGAAAUUUUUUUUUCUCUUUAAACUUUAGAAAUUCAUAUCUCUUGAUAUGAAUAUUUAAUUUUUUCAAAUUUCUAGAUAAUACAGACUUUAUUUUAAAUUUUAUUACAAAAAUAAUGAACCAUAAAUCUACGAAAAAUCAUUAGAUAAAUUAGAAAUUCUAAUAGGUGCUUUAAAUCCUAAUUUACAAGUACCUGAGUACCAUUUUUUUUAUAUUUUAAUAAUUCAAAAUUUAAAUAAUACAAAAUUUAUGUAUAAAAUUUAGUAAUAUAAUAAUAUAUAUAUUUUUAGAAAUUUUUAGCCAAAAUCUUAUCAAAUUACUUAAGAUAAAGUUUAAAACACAACUAUUAGUAAAAUAGGUGACUUACUGCUCUUAGAUUGCAAGUAUUGACUUCAACUUCCUAUAACUCCUGUAUCUCACCUUAGAAUUAAUUAAGAAAUAUAUAAAAUCAUAUAAAAUUUGUACCAAAAUUAUAACCAAAAACCUAAAUUCUUUGAUCUUAGCCUCAUAAGUUUAAAUGGCCUCAAAAAAAUAACUCUAAUUCCUAAUAAGGCCAUAAGUAACCUCCUUAAAGUCCAUUAGACAUGAAUUUUGGCCAAUAAGAAGAGAAUUUUUUAUCAUCCAUCUCCAUUCAUCCAUACGAAUGUCCUAACUAUCCUUUUUUCUACCGAAAUUCCUCUCCAAUUCUUUUUUUUAUAAUAUCUACAUAAUAUAUUUCCUAAACUUCAAAUAAAAGAAACAUUUCUUUUUUCAAGAGUCACCAAUAUCUAAUAAAGGUGGCUCUAAAUAUAUAAAACUAUUAUCAAUAUAAAAUCAACCUCAAUAAUAGUUCUUUUAAAUUAACUACUUCAAAACAAUAAUCUAAUCACAUUUUGUAACCAAUUAAAUCUAAUAAUAUGACUUUUACUACAUUAUAUAGUAAAUUAUAUAUAUAUAUAUAUAUAUAUAUAUAUAUGCAUUAUUUUUACAUGGUAGCCAAAUCACAACAUAAUAAAGUCAUGAAAAUACUUAUAAUUAAAUGGAUUAUGAAACCAUUAGAAUGAAGUCAAUCAAAUCUUCAAUUCAAGUCAAUUAAGACUUUAGCUCAUAUUAAGAUAUAAAAUUUGAGAACUUUCAACCAUAUGCAAGUAGAAGAUGAUCCUUAAGCCUUAACUAUUAUAUUCUUUUGUCAUGUCAUAUUUAAAGAAAAUCAAUAGAAUGGAAUCAGAUAGGUAGAGCUUAAAUAAGAUUUUAUCUGAGGUUAUAUAUAUGCCUCUAAAAUAUUUGGAAGAAUUAUUAAGUAGCAGUCUUUAGUAUUGACCCAACAUCUCUUUGAUAAGCCCUAGAUUUUUUAAAUUAUGAGUUUUUCAUAUACAUAAAGCUAAGAUGCAAGUAUAUUAGGAUGUAUGGAACAAUCAGAUUUUUUACUUCUUUUGAAGUCACAAUUUGGUUUGGAUAAUAUAACAAUAAACCAAAUGCAUAGAGGCAGCUUGAAAAGAGCUACAAAUUACAAAGAGACACAUUCUAUGACAUAAAAUAAACUAGAUCUUAUUAAGUGAAUAGAUGAAUAUAUAUAUAUAUAUAUAUAUAUAUAUAUAUCUAUAUCUAUAUGUGUGUGUGUGUGUGUGUGUGUUUGUGUGUGUGUGAGACAGAAGAGGGUUUCUUUCUUCAUACAAUGAUGUAAUUUUGUUCCAAAUUUACACUUAUUUUAAAUAUGCUUUAUUAUUGGAUUCUUUGUUUGGUAAAGAUAUACUAAGUUAGUAAUUAGGAGAAUAUAAGCCAUAGUAUAAAGAACAAAAAAAGCUUCUUGAUAUUAUAAAAGAUGCAUCAGAUCCUAUUUGAGCAAAUACAACAAAGGCAAGUAUAAAUGUAAAUUUUUAUUUUUUUAUUACUAAAUAGAUAUACUAAAAUAGAAUCCAUGUAAGAUCUUAUUGCCAAAUAAUAUAUCUUUCUUAUAUUACUUUAUACAUAUGAGUCAAUGAAUGCUCAAAAAGAGACUUAAGAUUGUUGAGGAAGUAGAAAAGGAGUGAUGAAGGAUCUUUUUAGGAUUAUAUAAGUUGAGAUAGAAUAAUGUUUGGAAUAAGCAAUAGGUGCUUAUAGAGAGAACCUUCCUUUGGCUUAUAUUUCAUUGAUUAGUUGCUAUCAAUACAUGGUAUAGUCAAAUAAAAGACUCCAUCAAUUAAUGUUGUCUUAAAUGCCUCACAAGCAAGGACAAUACAAUGCUUUAUUAUUUUUGGAAGUAUUUUAGGACAACUAAAUCAUGACACUAGGAAUUUAGGAUCUUAAAAAAAGUAACAAAGUUAUAGAAUGUGCUCCAUUAUACACAAAAUAUGGUCCUAGGCAUGCAACAAAAUGCUAGGAAUAUAAACCAUGAUAAUUUAGCCAAUAGCCUCGUAAAUAUAUACAAAAGAUGUAGAUACUAAAAGAAGCAAUUCUAGUCAACUUGCAUGUCAAAAAGAAGGCCAAAGCACUAUUAUACAAGAACUUAGCUUUACAUGGAAAUAUGGCAUUUUUACAUAUAGGAUUAUGAGAAGGUUUAAUAAGAUAAAUGGAUUUUGGCUUCUACAAAGAGAGAUAAUAAUCUAGGACUUCUAAAUAGAAUGCAAUGAUGUAUCUUUCAAUGAUAGAAAUUAGCACAAUGAAAAGAUACAUAGUUUGUUGUGGCUGAGCUUCAUUGAUUGUAAGAAACUUGCCUAGGUAUUAAUCCGAUCCAAAAUUUAGAAGUUAUCAAAUAAAACAACAACUUUUUUAGCAAAAUUUCAAUAUUAAUGGAAUUCCAAUGAAUCAAUAGAUGUAUGGGAGUCAAAAGUUCUUAAAUAAAAAAUUAUUUGUCCUAAUCUAAGUUACCAAAGUCUUUAGUUAGAUCAUACUUAUGUAUAAGUCUUGGCUAGACUUAGUUAGAACAUUUGUAUUUUUUUAAACCUUUAUCUCGCAAUAUAUAUAUAUAUAUAUAUAUAUAUAUAUAUAUAUAUAUAUAUAUAUAUUUAUAUUUGUCAAAAAAAUAUAAAAUAUAAAAUAAAAUAAGAUAUAAGAAAUUUAAAACUUACCAUGAAAAUACUUCUCAUCAAAUCAUACUCUUAAUUGAGUCAUCCUUUCUUCUUCUAAUAGUCAAAACUUAAUAGCUAGUUAUAGUUCUUUUGAUAUGAUUGCAAAAGAACUUGACUUGCUUGCUAUGUAUUCUUUUGAAUAAGUCUGAUAGGAUUGUUAUUACUGCCUCCUUUACUUCUUUAAUAGAACAUUAGAAAUUUUACAAAUAAAAGAUCUAAAAUUCAAAUCUAGAUCUUAAAAUAAAUUAUUUUAAAGAUUAUGUAUCUCAAGUUAGAGAUCUAUGAAAAGAUUGAAUACUUAUAUUUAUUAAGCCUUUGUUGUAGUACUUGGCAAGAUGAAACUAAGCCAAGAGAAGUUUAGGAAGUUCACCAAUUGAUCCAUAUUUAUGAAAAUUAAAGACAUAUGGAACAAGAAAAUUAGUACUCGAAGCUACAUUGAUAUUAUUAGAAUUUAAUAUAUUAGAAGAUAAAAGUUGAAGACUUGAAUUGGAACAUUGAAUAAUAUUUGAUAUUAAUUUUGGUAUGAAUUUAGAAAGAAUGAUUUUAAUAUUAGAUUUUAAUGAUAUCUCAAUCAUUAUUUGCUCAAAUUCUAUAUUAGAGAUUGAAAAUGAUAGAUUACCUAAAGACUCAAGCACAUGAUUAUCUACUAGACUUAUUAAAAGAUUAUAUUAGUAAAUUUAUUAUUUAAAAAAAUAAUGAUGUUUUUGUUAUCAUUUCUUUUUUUUUAAUUUUUUUGUAAAAUUUUAGAAUAAUAUAGAAAUAUUUAAGUACUAAAAAUAAUAUAUAUAUAUAUAUAUAUAUAUAUAUAUAUAUUCUUGAUAUAUAUUCCAAGAUAAUAUCUUUUAAAUUUAUUCAAUAAAAAUCUAAAAUAUUUUUUGAAAUUUUAACUAUAUAGAGAAUUUUUAGACAUUAUGCCUUUUAUUUUAUUUUUGGACUAAACUCCUUUAGAGUUGUAUAUGAUAACACUUCUAAGUUUUGACCUAUAUUUUUUGGGCUAUUAGGAAUUAAAGAGAGGUGGGGGUAUAAAUAACCCCAAGGUUACUUUAAACUCCUAUGAAUGUACUCCUAUUAAAUUAUUCAACAAUUUUAUUAAGCCAUGUCUUACUCAAUACUUGGAAUUAUCACUUGAUCUUAAGCUUAUUCCAAAAAUCUCAUUUAAUGCUAUAGUAUACAUAUAUCACAAGCAAUUUUUGAGCAAUUUUUGAGCAAUUUUUGAGUACUUUAUGACAAAUUUAAUUCUAAUAGUGUUAUAAAUAAAGUUUUUUUUACAAAAAUCCUAAUUUUGGGCUUUUAUACCUCUACUUUCUUUAAUGAGAUAUUAAAAUAAAUGAUUUUUUUUAUAUAAUCACUUAGUAAUAAGAAAGAAAAUGGCAUAUUAUUAAUGUACCUAUACAUCAAUUUUUGCAAUAUUCUUCAAGUAUGAAAGAAUUGCUUCAAAUUCUCCAUUGAUUUUUGAAAAAGUCAAUACGUUUGUUAAUAAGGAAUUUAAAUCUUCUCACUAAAUUUUAUUUUAUUCUUGAAACAAGAAGGGCUAUAAGUGAGCUACUUUAAGAGAAGAAAAAAGUAAAAAGAGACUUGCCAAGAAGCAUUUACUUUAAAAUAGAACUUGAAAAACCAAAGUUGAGUAGGAUCAAUAAAAUAGAUAAUUAAGUCCUUCCUAUGAGUCUCACUUAUCUCUUUUAAAUGGUCUUUUCUUCAAUUGAAGUCGAAUGUCAUAGAAUAAUACUUUUGAAAAGAUAUAUUUUAAUAAAUUUUCUAAGGAAUUUGAAAAAAACUUCAAUAUUCUAUAUAUAAUAUUUUUUUAAAAAAAUCUUUCAACUUAAAUGUCUUUCUUUAUCUUUAUAGAGGGGCUAAAAAAACCAACAAAAAUCAACUACUUUGAAGACAUAGUAAAUUAUUGUUUAUCUAGUUUACAAAUAUUUAAUCUAAUUGCUUGUUUUAAAAAUUAGUAGAUCCAAUACUUUAUGUACUUUAGAUCCUAUAUAUUAAUCAUUUUUGCAAUGAUUUUAUUUUAAAUGUUUUGUAUUGGAUUUUAUUCAUUUUUAAAAUUUUUUAUAAUAUUUUAUUAGUCAUUAAAUUUAUAAUUAUAUUUGAUGUGAUUAGAUUAAAUAUAAUAUUUUGAUGCAAAAGAAAUAUUUCAAAAAAUUUCAACAACAUUAAAUCCCCAAAAUUUCAAUUAGCUCAAAAUUGUUAAUUUGUUACAUGUCAAUUUUAGGAUUUGAGUUUUAAGAGUCAAAUGUACCACUAUGAGUGCAUGUGUAAUUUAGACUAUUGGUAGUUACUACAAAUUUUUACACACAAAUACAAGAGUUUUUUGCCAAUAAAAAAUAAUUAAAUCCUAGAAAAAUAUUAAAGAAUUCUAAAAACUUAAUAUACAAGACCUGUAACCAAUUUUUUUUAAGUAAAUAAUAAAAUAAAUAAUAAAAAAUGAACAAAUAAAUUUACAAAUGAAAAUUCACCAACUUUAUAGUCCUUUCAAAACAUCUUAAUGCAAGAAUACAAUUAGGACUAAGCUUUUAAUUGCUUUGCCAUUCCAAUAGGACUCUAUUCUUUAAUUUUACAUAUGCUUUUAUGCCAAAAAUUGAAAAUGCAAUUUGAUACAUAAUACUAGGGCCUGUCAAAGUGCAUAUUAUUUUCUCCUCAAAACUUUGCUUCUAAGUAGGGUCAUUGGUCAUGAUGCCCUAUUUUUGUGUUCAUACCUCCAAAUCACCUUCACUAUGAAAUCCUGCUAUAAAUUACCAGUAUUAGUUACCUCCCAGUGUGCACCAUUCUCAGUUCAAUAGUGGCAUUGCCAUUUGUAACUGGGCCCCUGGCUUAAGGGAGCUGAUGUACAGGAUGUUGAGAAGUCCCAUCAUCAAAUUCAUUCAAUAUUCCAUUCUCUGACGCCCAUGUAUCAGAAUCAUCGGCAAUAUCCACCUUCCUGGCCAACAUUGUUCGUACACACAACACGGCCGUAUCAAGUAGUUGCACCUCCUCAACUUCCUCUUCGCUUGGAAGCAUCCUUGGAUCUUUCAGGUCUAGGAGCCUGUUCUCUUCAUUCAAUUUCCAUGCCUGCAAUAUCAGAAGUUAAUAAACCCAGAAUUCAUGUCAAUUAAUUAUGCAGGUGAUAUGAUUGAAAAAUGGUUACUUAAUGUUUCAUCACAAUUUCAGUAACCAGUGCUAUCAGUUCAUUACAAUAGCCCAACACAGGCUGAUUCAUCUGGUGAAAUGCAAUUGUGCGCAACCAUUGUAUGCAAACCAGCUGCAAUGAAGCCAGAAUGGAGGAAUGCAGACACAAAAUGGAACAACUGAAAUGGAAGGAGAAUUAUAGUACCCGAGUGGGCAGAUAUAUUUCGACCUCUGGCAUCGUGAGGUCUCUGUUUCGCUUCCCACUCACGAUCUCCAGCAACAGAACACCAAAACUAAAAACAUCCGCCUUAUGGCUUAACAUGCUAUGGCACAUGUAUUCCGGUGCCAAAUAUCCACUGCAAGUAUUGGAAUUGGCAUUUAGUUACAGUGAAUGACAAGACGAAUUAGCUGUGCAAAAAUCCUGAAGCUGCACCAUAAGGCACAAUUAGAAUUUCAGUUGGACACAGCUGAAUUUGAUUGUAAUCUUCAAUGAAGAGGUGGAAUGGAGGGUGAGAUAAUUAGCACGAACAUUGUUCCAGCACAUUGAUUGGUCAGUAUGACGCUCUGUGCAUAUUCUAUUGGACGCGCCAAUCCAAAGUCUGCAAUCUAGGGCUGAAAGUUCUUGUCUAGCAAAAUGUUGCUAGCUUUGAUGUCUCGGUGUACGAUUCUAGAUUGGGAUGAUGCGUGCAAAUAGUACAAUCCCUGCGCCACACCCUGGCAUACAUUUAUCCUCGCUUGCCAAUCCAACACCUGCUCAUCGGUUGAAGUCCUACCUGUAUACAUUACAGAAUUAGAAUAUUACCAAAUUUAUACAAAUCAGACAACAACUGGAGAACACUAGCAUAGUUUGAAGUAAUUUAAUUCCAACAAGAUAGAUUGACUUGGGAGGAUCAGCUGCUGCCCUUACUUAGAAGAACCUUGUCCAGAUCAGAGAUAUCCACGUAUUCGUAGACAAGGAGUGUCUGCUUGUCAUGGAGGCAGUAGCCCUUGAGGGUGACGAGAUUGCGAUGCUGAAGGUUGGAAAUGAGGAUCACCUCGUUGAGGAAGUCAUUUGUCCCACUGUUGUCUCCAAAAACAGUUGCUUCACUGCCACCAUCAAGUUGCUUGCCAAGAUACCCUGCACAAAAAAAAAUUGUAAGUCAAUAUAUUAUUACAUAUGCAAACUUUAAACCCGUAGACAUACGAUGGGAGAAAUUAAUAGUACUUGAUAGAGUGUGCUCUUAGCUUGUACACAGCUCCGUAGGCUCCUGCACCCAAUUUCAUUUCUGGAGCAAAGUUUUUGGUGGCCACUUGAAGCUCAUUAUAGUCAAACCUCUUGGCGCUGACAUCAGCUUCAUUGAUUUCUGCACGUGAAGGUACACCAAUGCAGAUGGAGUAUAGUUACAGAUUUGCUUCAAUAUGGUGCAAAAAACUCUGGUGACUCAACCUACAAGCUGGUUGAUGUAAAGCAGCUAAGCAAUACUACUUAAACAUGGCAGAUUAUUCACUCACUCUUCUGAAGGUCUCGAAUAUACUUGCGGUUCUGACGAAGGAUGAGGACAAAGCACAGGAUCAGCAACACAACUAUGAGUGCAGAGCUUCCGGAACUGGCCAUUAUCACGACCUUCCAGUUCUUGUUGGACUCAGCAAAUUCAUAGAGAAUGGUGAGGUCAGUACAGACAUGCUGAGAAGUUUUCUUUUGCAGAACAAUGCAUCAGUAAUGUUUUUAACCGAGUCUAUGAAAUAAAGAACAAUUGAUCGGAAAAUAAUUCUUACUUGCCAAUGCGAGGGUAUUGGAUAUUCAGCGAUAUCCACAAUAUGUAGAACACCAUCUAUGUCCAACCGAUGUUGCAACAUGGAUUGCCCUCCAGACUGAAGAUCAACACAUUUUCAACAAUCUAGCCAUGAAAACUCGAACACAAGUGCCUCUGAUUCAGGAAAGUUGAAUGAAUAGGUUGUAAAUGGCAGCCUAUGAAGAUCGAUGGAAGCUGAACAGGUAAGCAUGCCACAUAUUGCUAUAAACAAAUAUAUGCUUACACUCAUGAUUUAGCAAGAAGUUAUUUUACAAUAUACGUAUCAAAGGCCGGACUAUUUAAUGCUGUGUACGGGUAGACGCCCUUACAAUUCCGAACGUGGCGUCUUCAUUGGUGCAAAUGCACUCCAGUUAGGGAAAAAGCCACCAGUUUUAAGGCCUGAAAGUUCAAGCACAGAGAGUGACUCCGAAAGCUGUGGGCCUCUGUACGAUGCCGAUAUGUUGGACAACCCUGUGAAGAAGUUUGAACUUAGAUUUCUGAAUCACAAAGGGAAACACAUGAAGGUCCAUUAUUGUCUACAAUUGGUGUUAUAUAAGUAGUCAAUUGUAGUCAUAGACUGGAAUCGAUGCUGGUUGUGGCUAAUGAAUCCAACUUGUCCUUCCAAAUAUACAGGGCUUAAUUGCAUCAACCUCCAUGAUCUAAUGGCCCUGGUCUGCAACAGACAAAUUCAGCAAUCAUAUGACUCCCAAACUUCUCCAACCUGAAGUAUACUACCAAGUGCCCAUGAGCUGAAAAUUAUUGAAUUAUCAAUAAGGGGUGAAUCUGCUUAAGUUAGUAGUGAAGAUUAAAUAAGUAAAGGGAAAUACAUCGAUCUUUGCUUAAUGGUACAUAGAUGAGUGUAUGGAUGGUAUCUAACUCACAAUGCAAUCACACUGCAAAGGUAGAUGAAGUUUGGCAGUGGGCUUGUGAAUUUGUUGCUAGAUAUGUCCUUGCAUCACAAUACCAACUCGUUCGGAAACAUAAGCCAACUCAAAGAACUGAGUGACUAAAUCUCAUGGAAUUAGUGACAAUAUAAUGCCAUAUUCUAAAAGUCAGAAUGUCAACAAUUGUUUCAUAUAGUGUUAAUCAAGCAACAAAUAGAAAUGGAUCUUGAACUUACUUUUGACACAUGAAUGAGAACCAGUUCAUAUUUGUUUAGAAUGACAAGUUUAAAUUGUCAAAAAUAUGAUUAGUAGGAAACAAGAAUCUUUAAAAUCUAUUCCAAGUUUAAUUUUGAGAUUUAGAAGAACUAAAACUUGCCAAAUAACUAAAGAGAGCCAUUAUAACAAAGAUGGAAUUAGAAUAAAUGGAUGCUAUUUAACUCAACUCAUAGAGGUUUUUAUUGAAGAGCAGCAAGAUCUUGCAUAGUUGCCACCAUAUAGAGUUAAACCAUAAUAAGUUGUUAAUAGUUAAAAGACAACAAAGCAUUAAAAGAUAUUACUAUAAAGGCAGCUAGGAUAAGAAGAAUCUAGGAUUUAGUUGGAUAUAAGAAAGAAGAAUGAAAAUGAUUAAGUUCAUCUACAAUUGAUGUAAAAUCUAGCUGUAAGUAAAGAGUGUUAGAAGUAAGAGUCAUCUUAAACUUUACUUCAUUUUUUGUACAACCUUGCUGAUGCUAAGUAUUGUGGCUUCUAAUUUCUCUUUCUUCAAUAGGUGAUGGAUCCACUAACAUUCUUUUGUGAGUUUUUUUAUAGUUUUAUGAAGUCUUUCUUAUUGUGUGGAGUACAUCAUAUUGUUAUUGUUGAUAUUAGGAUUUAAAAUUCCUAACUUUUAGAUUCAUAACUAGAUCUAGAUCUUUGUUUGCUCUUAUUUGUUGUUAAGUGCAUCUUAAAUUCAAGGUUUGAUUUGUACCUUAUGGUGAUAUUUUAGAAUACUAGUAUUAUUUUUUCUUAUUGAUUAAGAACAUUAGUAGACUAACAUUAUAAUCUCAUGUAUUAAAAGAGCUUAAGGUGCUUAAAAGACCUCUUAUAAUAUCUAAAAGUGAUUUGUGAGCAUAAAAAUAAUAAAAGAGUGAAAAAUAUGAUUUGAGACAUUUAUAUUGAUCAUUAAAUUUGUGAGAGGUCCUAAAAGUGAAGUUGAAAGUGUUUUGAGAGUGAAAAUGAUAGUUUAUUCACAAAGAAGGCAUUCUGAGAUUUUAAAGCAAUAAUUUCUUUUUGCUGAUUUUGAGAGCUUUAAGACUAUUUUUCUUGAUCUUUUUUGAUACAUCUCUUCCUAUAACAUGGCUUCAAGUGAAGGUGAAGGCUUGAGAGCAAUUGAAAAGUUUAGAAGUAAGAAUUUCUACCAUUGAAAGGUCAAAAUGGAGCUUUUGUUGGUUGCUUUAGACCUAUGGAAUAUUGUAGAUGAAAGUAGAGAGCAUCCAAGCAUGCAUGCUAAUACAAAGGAGAAAAAGGACUACAAAAGUCAUGAAAAGAAGGCUUUUGGAUUGAUUGCAUGUAAUAUAGAUGAAGCCAACUUCUUCCAUAUUAUCUUUUCAAAGGACUAAUAGAAGCAUGGAGGAUUCUUUACAACAUCUAUGAGAGCAAGAACUUAUCCAACAUCAUCUAUACAAGGAAGAAAUUCUUCACAUGUAAGAUGGAAGAAGUUGAAGAUCUCAUAGCAUACAUCAAUAAGAUAAAGGCACUUAGAAAUCAACAUGUAAUUGUUAACAAGCCUUUAGAAGAAGCAGAUGUUGUUAUGACUCUAUUCAUGAGCUUACCAGAAUUCUACAACUAUUUCAUUGUGGCUUUGAAAUCCAUCAAGAUCAAAGAACUUACAAUGAAUUACAUGAUAGUAAGAGUUAGCCAUAAAGUAACCAAAAAGAAAGAAAAAAAAUCUCAAAAUAAAGAUUCAGUACUUUACUCAUGACAAGGCAAGGACAACUAUUCAAAGCAAUGAGGUAAUGUCAAAACUUGCUUCAUUUGUGGCAAAGUAAGACAUUUUGCCACAAAUGAAGCAAGUUUGCUACAAGGGCAAAAAAAUAAAAAUAAAAGAAUGCAAAUAGUGUACAAGAUAAAUUUGUAAGAUAAGAUUAUGCAUUUAUAACAAUAAAUGAGACUUAUAUAGCUGCCAUGUCAAGAUGGAUUGUAUAUUUAGGUUGUUCCAAGCAUAUGAUACCUUAUAAGUAUUUAUUUGACACUUAUGAGGUUAUUUUAGAAUCAAAUGUGAUUUUGGUAGAUAGUGGCAUAUGUGAAGCCAUUGGAAUUGGUUCUAUUAUGGUAGAAGUUGUUGUGAAUAGACAAACCAAUAGGAUUAGAUUCAAAAAUAUCUUUCAUAUGCCCAAAAUGAAGCAAAACCUACUUUUAGUGAGUAAACUUAUAAUAGAAGGUUUUAUGGUUCAAUUCAACAAGAAUAGAUAUUUUAUAAAAAUAUUGUAUAGAAACAUGGUUGCCAAAGGCUCUAGAUAGGGGAAUUUGUACUACCUCAAGUAUAAGAAGGUUAAUAAAGUGGAGGUAGUUGUAUUUACUAAGUUUACAUCAAAUCAAGAUAAGUUGAAUAUAU
RNAcentral lists this long non-coding RNA (39933 nucleotides) under Physcomitrium patens. RNAcentral's name for it is "long non-coding RNA (PPAT_LNC013180)". Lineage: Eukaryota; Viridiplantae; Streptophyta; Bryopsida; Funariales; Funariaceae. The record is from RNAcentral.